RNAcentral lists this ribosomal RNA (375 nucleotides) under Leptodactylus cf. wagneri B AF-2012. RNAcentral describes it as "partial 12S ribosomal RNA". The record is from RNAcentral. Lineage: Eukaryota; Metazoa; Chordata; Amphibia; Anura; Leptodactylidae.
AAAAUCAGCUAUUUCUUGACUUACACAUGCAAGUUUCAGCACCCCUGUGAGAACGCCCCCCCAACUCCUCCAAGGAAUACGGAGCCGGUAUCAGGAUCAUAUUAUCGCCCAAGACGCCUAGCUAUGCCACACCCUCAAGGGAAUUCAGCAGUGAUUAACAUUAAACAUAAGCGACAGCUUGAUUCAGUCAAAGAAAAGAGAGCCGGCAAAUCUGGUGCCAGCCGCCGCGGUUACACCACGUGGCUCAAGUUGACCUUACUCGGCGUAAAGCGUGGUUUAAGAAACACCCUUAUGGUGUCAAAAAAAAGCUAAGCCGUGACACGCUUACCUUAAAGAAGGCCAAAAACGAAAGUUACACCAACAAUGUUAACUUGA